GUUUGAUCCUGGCUCAGAGCGAACGUUUGCGGCGGGGCUUAACACAUGCAAGUCGAACGAGAAUCCCUUCGGGGAGGAAAGUGGCGCACGGGUGCGUAACACGUGGAUGACCUACCCCUUGGUUCGGGACAACAGCGGGAAACUGCUGCUAAUACCGGAUGUGUCGUAGCAAUACGAGAAAGGCCCGCAAGGGUCGCCAGGGGACGGGUCCGCGUCCCAUCAGCUAGUUGGUGAGGUAAUGGCUCACCAAGGCGAAGACGGGUAGCUGGUCUGAGAGGAUGAUCAGCCACACUGGAACUGAGACACGGUCCAGACUCCUACGGGAGGCAGCAUGGGAAUAUUGCGCAAUGGCGAAAGCCUGACGCAGCCACGCCGCGUGAGCGAUGAAGGUCUUCGGAUCGU
RNAcentral lists this ribosomal RNA (402 nucleotides) under uncultured bacterium. Its description in RNAcentral is "bacterial SSU rRNA". It matches the Rfam family "Bacterial small subunit ribosomal RNA", at positions 11 to 426 of the family's 1533-position model. The record is from RNAcentral.